RNAcentral lists this ribosomal RNA (245 nucleotides) under uncultured bacterium. RNAcentral describes it as "partial 16S ribosomal RNA". It matches the Rfam family "Bacterial small subunit ribosomal RNA", at positions 94 to 339 of the family's 1533-position model. The record is from RNAcentral.
ACCGGCAAACGGGUGAGUAACACACUAGUAACCUACCUCUAAGUUGAGAAUAGCCCAGAGAAAUCUGGAUUAAUGCUCGAUAGUCAUAGAGAGACAUAUGUCAUUCUAUGUAAAGAUUUAUCGCUUAGAGAGGGGCUUAUGGCAGAUUAGCUAGUUGGUAAGGUAAUGGCUUACCAAGGCUCCGAUCUGUAGCAGGCGUGAGAGCGUGACCUGCCUCACUGGGACUGAGACACUGCCCAGACUUC